RNAcentral lists this ribosomal RNA (253 nucleotides) under uncultured bacterium. RNAcentral describes it as "partial 16S ribosomal RNA". It matches the Rfam family "Bacterial small subunit ribosomal RNA", at positions 524 to 776 of the family's 1533-position model. The record is from RNAcentral.
GACAGAGGGUGCAAACGUUGCUCGGAAUCACUGGGCGUAAAGGGCGUGUAGGCGGGCAGGCAAGUCAGAUGUGAAAUCCCUGGGCUCAACCCAGGAACUGCAUUUGAAACUCCCUUUCUUGAGUGUCGGAGAGGAAAGCGGAAUUCCUGGUGUAGCGGUGAAAUGCGCAGAUAUCAGGAAGAACACCCGUGGCGAAGGCGGCUCUCUGGUACGUGACUGACGCUGAGACGCGAAAGCGUGGGGAGCGAACAGG